This 466-nucleotide ribosomal RNA is filed under the name uncultured bacterium. RNAcentral describes it as "partial 16S ribosomal RNA". It matches the Rfam family "Bacterial small subunit ribosomal RNA", at positions 28 to 506 of the family's 1533-position model. The record is from RNAcentral.
GACGAACGCUGGCGGCGUGCUUAACACAUGCAAGUCGAACGGAAAGGCUCCAGCUUGCUGGAGUACUCGAGUGGCGAACGGGUGAGUAACACGUGGGUAAUCUGCCCUGCACUCUGGGAUAAGCCUGGGAAACUGGGUCUAAUACUGGAUAUGACCUUUCUCCUUAUGGGGUUUGGUGGAAAGUUUUUCGGUGUAGGAUGAGCCCGCGGCCUAUCAGCUUGUUGGUGGGGUGAUGGCCUACCAAGGCGACGACGGGUAGCCGGCCUGAGAGGGUGAUCGGCCACAUGGGGACUGAGAUACGGCCCAGACUCCUACGGGAGGCAGCAGUGGGGAAUAUUGCACAAUGGGCGGAAGCCUGAUGCAGCGACGCCGCGUGAGGGAUGACGGCCUUCGGGUUGUAAACCUCUUUCAGCAGGGACGAAGCGUAAGUGACGGUACCUGCAGAAGAAGCACCGGCUAACUACGU